This 198-nucleotide ribosomal RNA is filed under the name uncultured bacterium. Its description in RNAcentral is "partial 16S ribosomal RNA". It matches the Rfam family "Bacterial small subunit ribosomal RNA", at positions 328 to 539 of the family's 1533-position model. The record is from RNAcentral.
ACGCUCGACACCUACGGGAGCAGCAGUCGGGAAUAUUGCGCAAUGGAGGAAACUCUGACGCAGUGACGCCGCGUAUAGGAAGAAGGUCUUCGGAUUGUAAACUAUUGUCGUUAGGGAAGAAAAAGGACAGUACCUAAGGAGGAAGCUCCGGCUAACUACGUACCAGCAGCCGCGGUAAUCUGAGCGGGCUGGCAAGGC